Molecule: transfer RNA, 97 nt
Filed under: Magnaporthiopsis poae ATCC 64411
Lineage: Eukaryota; Fungi; Ascomycota; Sordariomycetes; Magnaporthales; Magnaporthaceae
Description: Magnaporthe poae ATCC 64411 tRNA-Leu for anticodon UAA
Rfam family: tRNA
About the family: Transfer RNA (tRNA) molecules are approximately 80 nucleotides in length. Their secondary structure includes four short double-helical elements and three loops (D, anti-codon, and T loops).
Source: Rfam by way of RNAcentral
GACAGCUUGGCCGAGCGGUUAAGGCGGCAGAUUUAAGUUUCUUGACACUUGAUCUCUGCUCUCGAAAGAGUCGUGAGUUCGAACCUCACAGCUGUCA